AGCUGGGUUAUAAGGGGGGUUAACGCCUGUGGCACCGAAAUAAACCACUACAACUUAACUAAAUAUAGCCUAAAUCUCAAGGUUGCUUGGGAAUGAAGGUCUUUGAGAGUGGUGACAAUAUUACAACUUAAAUUCUUUGCGCUAAUCAAAACUUUUGAGAGGAUCCUCCGUAUGAUAGUUAACUCUGAUAAUUACAUGAUAAAAAGGCAGUAUUUACAAGGGAAUGCUCGGUUAUACGAGAGGCAGUGCUCAGGUUGCAAGAAUCAAGAGGUGGUAUAAAAUCUCUAAUAUAUGAGAUAGUGUCUCUGACAUACCCCCUUCUCGGCCAGAAGUGGAUGUACAGUCCUGGGGAUAGAGUCUUUUCAAGAGUUGCUAUCUGGAUUCUGUUCUCUCCCUUACUGUGUAUAUAGAGAUCUCUUCAGCGUAGCACAUCCCCAUGCCCGAAGGCUUGGGGGGCGCAGGCGUUGCAUGCACCCCUCUGGGGCGCUAAACAAAUACAUACAUACAUACAUACCCCUUUCAGCAGAAUAGCGCAAGGAAUGAAGCUGGAUUAGAUUACCAGAAUAGGAAAGCAUAGAGAACAUGGUGGAUUCCUCGCGUCCAAGCACAUUGUGUCUUUAUACCUUAUUUUGCGAUUUUAUUGACGCGAUUAGUUAUAUCAACUAAUCCCAUCUGUUUGAUGAAUUCUUUUUGCUUCUGAUGUCAUAGUGACUUGGUUAAUCCGUCCACUGGCAUGCUAGCUGUAGGUGUCCAUUGCACUGAUAUAUCACCGGAUUGUAUCCGUUCUCGCAACCAAUUGCUGUAGAUAUCAACAUGGCGUAGCUUGGUGGUGAUUGAAGAAUCUUCCUUAUUAAGGAUACCAAUCGUUUGUCGGUUAUCGCACAUGAUAGAGAUCUUAUACCCUGGAUCAAAUCCUAGAUGAUCGACCAAAUGGACUCCUUGCCUACUUGUGAUAUAGCUAGAAGCCCAGCCUCAGUGGUGGAAGUUGUUAUCACUUUUGGUUCAUCGUAUAUCCAAGCAGCCAUCUGCGCACUUUCUUGCAUCCAUGGUUCUGCAUCUUCUCUAACCUGAGAUUUAACUUCCAGGAUGGCUA
Molecule: small RNA, 1093 nt
Filed under: Histoplasma capsulatum
Lineage: Eukaryota; Fungi; Ascomycota; Eurotiomycetes; Onygenales; Ajellomycetaceae
Also listed under: 1 other name
Description: hypothetical RNA
Source: RNAcentral